AUGCGAUGGCCGUGCUCGUGGCUACCACGUCCUCCUCGAGUACCUCUCCCCGUCCGACCUCGCCCGCGUCCCCGCCUCGGGGAGGCUCGUGACCGCGCUCUUCCAGACCACCAGCCGCGCGGCCUCCGACCUCGGCGUCGUCAACCUCACGGCCGCAGGCUCCGCCAUCGUCGUCCGUUCCCCCGCGCUGUCGGCUCCCGGGUCGAACGCCACCGACCUCGGCGCCGUCACCAGGGAGCCGUACAACACCAGCGUGCUCGCCGUGGGCUGCCUCAUCGUGCCCUCCGGCUUCGACACCACCGCGUCCGGCUCCGAGAGCCGCCCGUCCCCCGUGGUCAACAUCACCGACGCGCGCGGGUUCAACGUGGCCGCCUCCAUGCUCGAGGCCUCUGGCGUGGCGGACGACUUCGAGGCCGAAGAGCGGGGCGCCGGCAUCACCAUCUUCGUCCCCACCGACGACGCGUUCGUGGCCCUCCCCGCCACCGACCGCCUCCAGUCCCUCCCCUCCGACUGCAAGGCCGUGGUGCUGCACUCCUACCACCCGCUCGGGUCCCUCAGUCCAUUGUGAACCCCGUCCAGCCCACGCUCGCCACCGAGUGCAAUGAGGCCGGCCGCUUCAUGCUCAAUAUCACGCGCUUCAACGGCUCCGUCGCGAUCGACACCGGCGUCGUGCAGGCGUCCCACACCUGCACGGUGUUCGACCAAAAUCCCGUGGCGAUCUUCGCCGUCUCCAAGGUCCUGCUGCCCAAGGAAAUGUUCGGCCGCGGGAAUACCGCAAGCCCGAGAGCUGCGGCGCCUCCGGCGACCAUGACGCCAGACCUCUCCGAUGGCCUGCGAACGCCGCCGACGAAGCUGUCGUCCCCGCCGGCCCUGCGUGGCCAGGACAACUAG
Molecule: ribosomal RNA, 891 nt
Filed under: Triticum aestivum (bread wheat)
Lineage: Eukaryota; Viridiplantae; Streptophyta; Magnoliopsida; Poales; Poaceae
Description: partial small subunit ribosomal RNA
Source: RNAcentral